Molecule: RNA transcript, 6722 nt
Organism: Ictalurus furcatus (blue catfish)
Lineage: Eukaryota; Metazoa; Chordata; Actinopteri; Siluriformes; Ictaluridae
Gene: cep112
Gene name: centrosomal protein 112
Exons: 27
Source: RefSeq, a predicted model, not a curated record
UUGAACCGUUUGGCAGCUCUGAUUUAAAAACAAACUUGUUGCUGCUCAACUCGGUAGCCGUUCAACAUGGUUUCCGUUUUGAUUUGAGCUCCUACAUGGAUGCAGAAAUACACAUACACAGCUUGGACUUUGACAUGAUGAGUAGAGAAGAAGACUCUGUGGAGAAACUGGACUCUGAAUUUGAUCACUACUUAGUUGACAUGAAACCCUUCGUGCUCAGGCUUCCAGAUAAAUCAGAGCGUCAGCGGUGUGCCCUGUGGAUUAAGAAGCUCUGUGAUCCUGUGGCGUCCGGCUCUGGGCUGAUGGGAAGGAAAAAUCGAAAUGCAUACACCAGGCUUCUUCUGCACAUGCUCAGGAAAGGAGUUCUUGAGGGACCAUUUACCUACAAGCCUGAAGCGGGAAGCCUCAAGACUUUACCAACGUACAUGUCAGUGUACUACGAUGAGCCGCUGGCGUCCCGGUCUCGAGCACAGAGCUCCACCAUGCUGCCAGACUGGGUUUCUGGCGAACUUGAUCGUGAUGACACGUGGUCCGGUCUGCUGAAGGACUCCUCUCCACCUCAUCCAAACUCAAACAGAAGGAGAAACCUGUUCAGUCACAAGUCUCCAACGAGACCUUUAUCGUCCAGUCCACUCAAACCCACUGCCAAAGAGGACAAGAUGGAUGAGCGACUAAGAAGACCCUUGUCUGAUGACAGUGACGUAGAGGCCCGUCUCAACAGCUGGAACCUUGGGAUCGAAAACCCCAGGUAUUUGCGCGAGAACCCUAUUCCCCUGUCUCCGAUUUACCCAAAAUCAAGCCUAAGAAAAAGUAGCACCCUUACCGAUGAGCCUCCCGAUUACAAACGAGAUAAGGAGACUGAAAUGAGGAGCAAAGUCCUGGAAGCCAAAUACCAAGAGGAGAAGCUGAAGCUCCAGCAGAGACAUGACGCUGAUGUUCAGAAGAUUUUACACCGUAAGAACGGCGAGAUCGAGGAGCUGAAGAACGUGCAGCGGUGCAAGCAGAAGGAAUCCGAGGAAGCCAUGAGAGCACUGGAGAGAAAAGUUCAAAGCUUGCUGCGCGAGUCCCAGAUCAUCCGCCAGAGCAAAGACAAGCAGAUCGCAGAGUUGAAGAAAAUGUCGGAUCAAAGUGCUGACUCUCUGAAAAACGAAUGGGAGAAGAAGCUCCACACUGUUGUGGCUCAGAUGGAGCAGGAGAAGUUUGAGCUGCAGAAGAAGCACACAGACAACAUCCAGGAGCUCCUGGAGGACACCAACCAGCGGCUGGCCAAGAUGGAGGCGGAGUAUGUCACCCAGGCGCGAGCCACCGAGCAGACAGUGCGGGAUCUGGAGGCACGGGUGAAGCAGCUCUCAGUGGAGGUAGAGAACGGCAACCUGCUCAGGCAGAAGGUCACACAGGAGAAAGCUGAGCUGGAGAUACACAUUGCAGCAUACAGCGCUGAGCUGCAGGAGGCCAACUGCAGGAAUAUGACUCUACAGAGGGAGAAGGAUCUACAGAGUGAGCAGCAUGAGGAUGAACUACAGAAGCUCCAGGCCCAACAUGAUGCAGACAUCAGCCUCUUUCAGCAGGAGCAUGCCCUGUCUGCAGCCAAGGCGUCUGAAAUGAUCGAGGAUCUGGAACAGAUGGUGGCUCGACUCAAACAGCAGCUGCGAGACAGCGAGCACCAAAGGCACAAACAGCUCAGGGAGCUGGAAAAUAAGAUCCAGCAUGACAGAAUGGACCUGCAGCAUACCAGUGACAAAAAGGUGCAGGCUCUGCAGGCCGAGCUGGAGAAGGAGCGUAAUGAAGCCAGAAAAAAGAGCAUGAAGUUGGAGGAGGCACUCAGGGAGAAAGAGGAUCACAUGAGCCGCCUAAGAGAGUCCCAGAGACAGCAGGCCCAGCAGGCAGAGAGCGCUUUGGAGAGCUUUAAGAAGCAGGUGGAGCUCAGCUCUGAGAAAGCUUACACUGACAUGAAGCAGCAGAUGGAAAAGGUAGAAGCUGAUCUGUCCCGUUCCAAAUCACUGAGAGAGAAGCAAACAAAGGAGUUUGGCCACCAACUAGAGGAGCUCCAGCAGAAAUACGAGCAGCAGAUUAUGGAGCUGAAACUGCAGCACGAGCAGGAGAGGACACACCUACUUCAACAACACAAUACUGAGAAGGACAGCCUGGUCCAGGAUCAUCAGCGGGAGAUUGCUAGUCUGGAGAAGCAGGCGCGGUCCGCCAUGGCCCAGCACCAAGCACAGACCCAAGAAUGGAGAAAGCGGGACGGACAGACCAUAAGUGAGCUGGAGUCCCAGGUGCACACUUUGAGGGAGGAGCUGCUUGCGGCUCACAGUCAGAAGAAGCAGCAGCUGUCCGAGUUGGGCCUACUGCGUGAAGAGGAGCGCCAACGUGCUGCCCAGGAACAGGAAGUGGCGUUGGGCCGUGUCCGGGCCGAAAUGGAACGUGUCCGCCAGGAUCUGGAGAGAAGCCACACUGCCGAGAGAGAACUCGCUCAGGAGAAGGCAAACAGCAGGUUGAAGCAGCUCGAGAAGGAAUACACCCAGAAGCUCGCUAAGUCUGCACAGACAAUGGCAGAGCUGCAAACAACAUUAUUCUCCAUUAAAGAAGAGAGCAAACAAACCCAGCAGGCUCUGGAGCGCCAGCUACAGGAAGCACAUACACACUGGGAUGAGGAGAGGAGACGGCUCAGCCGAGAUGCCGACCGUAUCAGCAAAGCUCUCCAGGAGCGGAUGGAGAGCUUACAGAAGCAGCUACGCACUGCAGAGAAGAAACUGAUGAGCCGGGAGCUGGAAACCCAGGAACAGAUCACACACAUCCGCCAGGAGUACGAGUUAAAGAUUAAAGGCCUGAUGCCUGCUGAGCUCAGGCAGGAGCUGGAGGACACCAUCACCUCUCUCAAGUCACAGAUGGCGAGUGUUGGGGGAAACUAACAAGUAGUGUGAGUUCUUCAGUAGACAUGGAUCUAAUUUGGCCAUGGGGCUUUGAAGUGCCAGUUCUGAUUCAUCUUCCCUCAUGCGCAAUUAUAUCCAGCAACCGCAUUAAUAGUGGCUUCAAGGGCUCUGGCCAAAUGUUUAUUACUUUCACCGGACCUCGCUCUGCCUGCAUCUGCGUUGAGGAGGGAAAAAAAGCCCGCUUUUUUUCACCGAAGAGUGAGGUCCCCCGAUGAAAGACACUAAAUACAUCUGCCUGGAAUUUUCACUUUCCGUUCUGAUCAUGUUCUGUGUUCAGAUAUGUUUAGCUCCGUGCGCUGCUCAAAUCUUGUCCGGCAUUGCACAUGAUGUGUUCAUCCCUCUAAACCCAAGUGGAAUCUGGGCACGUGCAUGGGUCUGUGAAAUAGACACCACUGUGGGGAUGUCAACUAGUCAGGGAACUAACGCUAAACGCUAAAGAAAGCAGCAUAAAGUCAUUUAGAUUCGAUGAAGUCAACUGCACAGCUGGCAAAAGUCUUUUGCUAUAAAAGACUGAACGUUUGCUGUUGCUUUGUUUAGUGCAAAUUAAUUUUUUUAAUCCUCACUCCUGCUUGUUCCUGAUGGAAUUCCUCCCACAGUUAAUUUGUUGUCUGUCCAUCCAUCCAUCUUCCAUACCGCUUACCCUACACAGAGUCGUGGUGGAGCCUGGAGCCUAUCCCAGGGGAUUCGGGGCACAAGAGGAGGGACACCCUGGGCGGUGUGCCAACCCAUCUCCGGGCACAAUCACACACAUUCACACACUACGGACAAUUUAGAGAUGCCAAUCAGCCUACUUUGUUAUUUUGUUGUCCUUUAAAGUUAAAUAAAGUUUAAAUCACAGCCUUGCACUGUGGCACAUUUUAAUUCCGUUGUGAACGAGCGCGAAGCCGCAGGUUGCACACCGUUAUCCAGCGUUACUCGGCUAGAUUCGGAGUCAGAUCAGCGUACGUCAGCUCAAAGACUCUGAUUUCUGCAGACUCCUUUUUAGAUGCUCCUUAAAUACUGUAAUAUGAUGCACAGAUUUAUUAUUUUGGACAUUUAUUGCACUGAUUUAUUGACUUUUUUUAAUAGCAUAGCUUAAUAAAGCAUUAAAGUGUCAUCAGUAACUUGUGUAUGGCUGUCAAGUCAAGAGCAGUUUUACACAUUCUUUGUUGAAAUGUCUUGAAAGUUUUGUUUUAUUGGUGGUAAAGAUAUUUAGAUGACUUUUUUUUUUUUUAAUUACUGCUCAGAUAGUAAAAAUUAGCAGUCGUGCAACCCCUUGGAACAUUUUGACUGGUCACUCAGUAGCUCAAAAACAAGUACAAUAAUGCUACAAUAACUUGUAUCUAAUGCUAAUUUUAGUAAUAAAAAAAGUGUUCUAUGAAAAAUGGCACAUAAAAACAACGGUAUGCCUUCAAUAUAUAAAUAAAAUAUUGUAUACAUUUAGUUUGCAUGUUCUCCCCUUGCUGCGGGGGUUUCCUCCGGGUACUCCGGUUUCCUCCCCCAGUCCAAAGACAUGCAUGGUAGGCUGAUUGGCAUGUCUAAAGUGUCCGUAGUGUAUGAAUGGGUGUGUGAGUGUGUAUGUGAUUGUGCCCUGCGAUGGAUUGGCACCCCGUCCAGGGUGUACCCCGCCUUGUGCCCGAUGCUCCCUGGGAUAAUCUCCAGGUUCCCCCGUGACCCUGAAAAAGGAUAAGCAGUAUAGAAGAUGGAUGGAUGUAUACAUUUAAACAAUGUGUGUUUGAUAUUUAAAUACUAUUACAUAAUAAGUUAUGUUCAUAAAAGAAAUCCAUAGUAAAGGCGUCACUGGAAUUUUGUGAACCUGGCUGCUAAAAGCUUCAGAACCACUUCUCUAAAAUUCUAAUCCUUUAUAUAACACGAAAAGGACUGUGUACUUUACAUGCAUAGCUGCUGUAACACUAGACCCUGUUUGAUGUCUCCUGUGGAGUGUGUUCAUCUCGGGCACUCUUCUAAAGUUCAGGCAAAGUUAAGAGGAGACUUUCACUUUAAGGCCCUGUUUACACUAGUGCGUUUUCAUUUUAAAGUGGCGUUUUAAAAUGAAAAACGAUCCUCGUCCAUACUGGUGUUUCCACUGGGUUUCAGAAACGAUCUCCGUCCACGCUACACGACCGAGUACGCAUGUCACAUGGCCAUUCAUGAACACUGCGCAUGCACAUACAAGUGUAAACAGGAAGUUGGUUGCUAGACCAAACCGGCAUUCCUACAGGCUUACGCCGAUUGAAAUGAGACUUGUUGCCAAUUGCUCUAAUCAUAGCUCGCCUCUUGCACAUGUAGGCAGCUGCAGUAUUAUAAAACACAGAAUUUAACUGCACAAUGGCUGAUAAGAAUGACAACAAAGCCAGAAAAGCUUACGGUUCAGUCUCCGUGUUGUUGUGUGUACGAUCAAGGUAGCGUAAUAAUGAGUCACAUAUACAUUUAUUAUUAGUAACAUAUACAUUACAGCACAGUGAAAUUCUUUUCUUCGCAUACCCCAGCAUGUUAGGAAGCUGGGGUUAGAGCACAGGGUCAGCCAUGAUACAGUGCCCCUGGAGCAGAGAGUUAAGGGCCUUGCUCAAGGGCCAAAAAGUGGCAGCACUGUGUUUUGAACCCCUGACCUUCUGAUCAGUAACCUUAACCUCAGUAACCAGUAGGCUUAAGUAAGCCUUAACCGCUAAGCCACCACUGCCCCUACAAUAAUGGUCAUAUGGUAGGGGCUUGACGAAUCAGGGAAGGAUACACAAUGAUCCAGAAGACCCAAUCAGGGAGCGAAUGUGAGCGAAGCCACACCUUUGUUUUCAAAAGUCUUUGUUUUGUUCUGUUUACACUGAAAUGCGAGCCCGGAGUUUUCAAACUAAAAUGGGGACUUCGGCGUUUCCAAAAGUCUCAGUUUUCGAUGGGUCGAAAACACCAGAGUAGUGUAGACGACAGGCGUAACCGUAGCAACAGUUAUGCAUUUUUAAAACGAAAACGCACUAGUGUAAACGGCCUGAAGCUCAGGUCCAUGAGGAAAAGGACUCCUUAGAGAGCAUGCUGUGCUGUCAAACAGAGCUGGUAUACUGCAGCAUCGUGUGUAGCUGAUGUACAGGCUGAUAUAUGUUAUAAAAGGAAGGAAAUGAGUUUCUCAGUAGUUGCUGUUCAUUCGCCCCUUCAAAAAGCAAGGGCAGCUGUUAUCUCAUCAAGAAGGGCAUGAGCAAAUAGAACAAAGUCAGCAGGAGUUUAACUUUACUUUGAGGAUUCUAGGUGUGAGAGAGAGAGAGAAAUGCGUAAUACUUUGCGUAAUGCUUUUAAAAGUAGUAUGACGUGAAUGUGGAAGCAGUGGUAUGAGUCAAGAUGCUUUUAAAUUACACUGUGUGUGUGUGUGUGUGUGUGUGUGUGUGUGUUUGUUUUGGCUGCAGGUCAGUUUCCUCCAGAAGAAAGCGUCUGUUUUACAGGAGGACUUGGAUGCAUGCCGCAGCAGGAGGUAAUGAAGGACAUGCAAUAUUCAGCAUUGAGGAUUUCCACCCCCCCCCCCCCCCCCAAACAUCACCAUUCACACACCAUUCAUGUUUUGGACCAUGACUUGCUUUCAUGUUUUCUGUGUCAUGUUUGAAUUUUUACAACUUUCUUUUCAAAUGUAUUUAUGCACUGAGCCAUCAUAUUUAUUUCCAUUUUUGAAAACAGAUGAGUUCUGCUUAAUGUGGCUUGCUGUUUAAUAAUCACAACAAACGUCACAUACUGUUUGUUUGGCCAUGUUUACUUGAUUUCUGAAAGAAGAAAAAAAAAUGUCACGUUCUAAUUCUUUUUUUUUUUUUUUUAUUAAAUACUUUUUUUCUAUUG